UGGGGAAUUUUGGACAAUGGGCGAAAGCCUGAUCCAGCAAUGCCGCGUGUGUGAAGAAGGCCUUCGGGUUGUAAAGCACUUUUGUCCGGAAAGAAAUCCUUGGCUCUAAUACAGUCGGGGGAUGACGGUACCGGAAGAAUAAGCACCGGCUAACUACGUGCCAGCAGCCGCGGUAAUACGUAGGGUGCAAGCGUUAAUCGGAAUUACUGGGCGUAAAGCGUGCGCAGGCGGUUUGCUAAGACCGAUGUGAAAUCCCCGGGCUCAACCUGGGAACUGCAUUGGUGACUGGCAGGCUAGAGUAUGGCAGAGGGGGGUAGAAUUCCACGUGUAGCAGUGAAAUGCGUAGAGAUGUGGAGGAAUACCGAUGGCGAAGGCAGCCCCCUGGGCCAAUACUGACGCUCAUGCACGAAAGCGUGGGGAGCAAACAGGAUUAGAUACCCUGGUAGUCCACGCCCUAAAACGAUGUCAACUAGUUGUUGGGGGAUUCAUUUCCUUAGUAACGUAGCUAACGCGUGAAGUUGACCGCCUGGGGAGUACGGUCGCAAGAUUAAAACUCAAAUGAAUUGACGGGG
RNAcentral lists this ribosomal RNA (572 nucleotides) under uncultured bacterium. Its description in RNAcentral is "partial 16S ribosomal RNA". It matches the Rfam family "Bacterial small subunit ribosomal RNA", at positions 355 to 918 of the family's 1533-position model. The record is from RNAcentral.